GACGAACGCUGGCGGCGUGCCUAAUACAUGCAAGUAGAACGCUGAAGAGAGGAGCUUGCUCUUCUUGGGUGAGUUGCGAACGGGUGAGUAACGCGUAGGUAACCUGCCUUGUAGCGGGGGAUAACUAUUGGAAACGAUAGCUAAUACCGCAUAACAAUGGAUGACACAUGUCAUUUAUUUGAAAGGGGCAAUUGCUCCACUACAAGAUGGACCUGCGUUGUAUUAGCUAGUAGGUGAGGUAAUGGCUCACCUAGGCGACGAUACAUAGCCGACCUGAGAGGGUGGUCGGCCAAACUGGGAAUGAGACAAGGCCCAGACUGCUACGGGAGGCAGCAGGAGGGAAACUUCGGCAAUGGGGGCAACGCUGACCGAGCAACGCCGCGUGAGUGAAGAAGGUUUUCGGAUCGUAAAGCUCUGUUGUAAGUCAAGAACGGGUGUGAGAGUGGAAAGUUCACACUGUGACGGUAGCUUACCAGAAAGGGACGGCUAACUACGUG
Molecule: ribosomal RNA, 497 nt
Filed under: uncultured bacterium
Lineage: Bacteria
Description: partial 16S ribosomal RNA
Rfam family: Bacterial small subunit ribosomal RNA
Source: RNAcentral